CAAAUCUCAACUUUAUUAGAAGAGACGCAUUUAUUAGAUAAAAAGCCAAUGCAUGCUUUUACAGUAUGGAAAUUGGUGAUUUAUAAUAACUAGGCAAAUCGCAAAGUGAAAACAGGCGAUAAAUCAUUCAAGUUUCUGACCUAUCAGCUUUCGACGGUAUGGUAUUGGCUUACCGUGGCAGUGACGAUUAACGGGGAAUUAGGGUUCGAUUCCGGAGAGGGAGCCUGAGAAACGGCUACCACAUCUAAGGAAGGCAGCAGGCGCGCAAAUUACCCAAUUCUAACAGUUUGAGAGAGGUAGUAACAAGAAAUAACAAUACAAGGCAAUUAAAAUGUUUUGUAAUUGGAAUGAUAGAAAUUUAAACCCUUUUUAAAGUAUCAAUUGGAGGGCAAGUCUGGUGCCAGCAGCCGCGGUAAUUCCAGCUCCAAUAGCGUAUAUUAAAAUUGUUGCAGUUAAAAAGCUCGUAGUUGAAGUUCUGCUAAAAGUAACCGGUCUGCUUUUAAUAAAAGUGGUAUCUUGGUGUGUAUUUAGCAAUGAUGUCCUUUGAAGUGUUUUUUACUUUAUUGUAAUAAAGCAUAUUCAGGACUUUUACUUUGAGAAAAUUAGAGUGUUUCUAGCAGGCCGACGCUUUGAAUACUGCAGCAG
RNAcentral lists this ribosomal RNA (645 nucleotides) under Hepatozoon canis. Its description in RNAcentral is "SSU rRNA". It matches the Rfam family "Eukaryotic small subunit ribosomal RNA", at positions 174 to 810 of the family's 1831-position model. Lineage: Eukaryota; Apicomplexa; Hepatozoidae. The record is from RNAcentral.